This 2930-nucleotide ribosomal RNA is filed under the name Escherichia coli. RNAcentral describes it as "23S ribosomal RNA". It matches the Rfam family "Bacterial large subunit ribosomal RNA". The record is from RNAcentral. Lineage: Bacteria; Pseudomonadati; Pseudomonadota; Gammaproteobacteria; Enterobacterales; Enterobacteriaceae.
GGGUUGUGAGGUUAAGCGACUAAGCGUACACGGUGGAUGCCCUGGCAGUCAGAGGCGAUGAAGGACGUGCUAAUCUGCGAUAAGCGUCGGUAAGGUGAUAUGAACCGUUAUAACCGGCGAUUUCCGAAUGGGGAAACCCAGUGUGUUUCGACACACUAUCAUUAACUGAAUCCAUAGGUUAAUGAGGCGAACCGGGGGAACUGAAACAUCUAAGUACCCCGAGGAAAAGAAAUCAACCGAGAUUCCCCCAGUAGCGGCGAGCGAACGGGGAGCAGCCCAGAGCCUGAAUCAGUGUGUGUGUUAGUGGAAGCGUCUGGAAAGGCGCGCGAUACAGGGUGACAGCCCCGUACACAAAAAUGCACAUACUGUGAGCUCGAUGAGUAGGGCGGGACACGUGGUAUCCUGUCUGAAUAUGGGGGGACCAUCCUCCAAGGCUAAAUACUCCUGACUGACCGAUAGUGAACCAGUACCGUGAGGGAAAGGCGAAAAGAACCCCGGCGAGGGGAGUGAAAAAGAACCUGAAACCGUGUACGUACAAGCAGUGGGAGCACGCUUAGGCGUGUGACUGCGUACCUUUUGUAUAAUGGGUCAGCGACUUAUAUUCUGUAGCAAGGUUAACCGAAUAGGGGAGCCGAAGGGAAACCGAGUCUUAACUGGGCGUUAAGUUGCAGGGUAUAGACCCGAAACCCGGUGAUCUAGCCAUGGGCAGGUUGAAGGUUGGGUAACACUAACUGGAGGACCGAACCGACUAAUGUUGAAAAAUUAGCGGAUGACUUGUGGCUGGGGGUGAAAGGCCAAUCAAACCGGGAGAUAGCUGGUUCUCCCCGAAAGCUAUUUAGGUAGCGCCUCGUGAAUUCAUCUCCGGGGGUAGAGCACUGUUUCGGCAAGGGGGUCAUCCCGACUUACCAACCCGAUGCAAACUGCGAAUACCGGAGAAUGUUAUCACGGGAGACACACGGCGGGUGCUAACGUCCGUCGUGAAGAGGGAAACAACCCAGACCGCCAGCUAAGGUCCCAAAGUCAUGGUUAAGUGGGAAACGAUGUGGGAAGGCCCAGACAGCCAGGAUGUUGGCUUAGAAGCAGCCAUCAUUUAAAGAAAGCGUAAUAGCUCACUGGUCGAGUCGGCCUGCGCGGAAGAUGUAACGGGGCUAAACCAUGCACCGAAGCUGCGGCAGCGACGCUGAUGCGUUGUUGGGUAGGGGAGCGUUCUGUAAGCCUGCGAAGGUGUGCUGUGAGGCAUGCUGGAGGUAUCAGAAGUGCGAAUGCUGACAUAAGUAACGAUAAAGCGGGUGAAAAGCCCGCUCGCCGGAAGACCAAGGGUUCCUGUCCAACGUUAAUCGGGGCAGGGUGAGUCGACCCCUAAGGCGAGGCCGAAAGGCGUAGUCGAUGGGAAACAGGUUAAUAUUCCUGUACUUGGUGUUACUGCGAAGGGGGGACGGAGAAGGCUAUGUUGGCCGGGCGACGGUUGUCCCGGUUUAAGCGUGUAGGCUGGUUUUCCAGGCAAAUCCGGAAAAUCAAGGCUGAGGCGUGAUGACGAGGCACUACGGUGCUGAAGCAACAAAUGCCCUGCUUCCAGGAAAAGCCUCUAAGCAUCAGGUAACAUCAAAUCGUACCCCAAACCGACACAGGUGGUCAGGUAGAGAAUACCAAGGCGCUUGAGAGAACUCGGGUGAAGGAACUAGGCAAAAUGGUGCCGUAACUUCGGGAGAAGGCACGCUGAUAUGUAGGUGAAGUCCCUCGCGGAUGGAGCUGAAAUCAGUCGAAGAUACCAGCUGGCUGCAACUGUUUAUUAAAAACACAGCACUGUGCAAACACGAAAGUGGACGUAUACGGUGUGACGCCUGCCCGGUGCCGGAAGGUUAAUUGAUGGGGUCAGCGCAAGCGAAGCUCUUGAUCGAAGCCCCGGUAAACGGCGGCCGUAACUAUAACGGUCCUAAGGUAGCGAAAUUCCUUGUCGGGUAAGUUCCGACCUGCACGAAUGGCGUAAUGAUGGCCAGGCUGUCUCCACCCGAGACUCAGUGAAAUUGAACUCGCUGUGAAGAUGCAGUGUACCCGCGGCAAGACGGAAAGACCCCGUGAACCUUUACUAUAGCUUGACACUGAACAUUGAGCCUUGAUGUGUAGGAUAGGUGGGAGGCUUUGAAGUGUGGACGCCAGUCUGCAUGGAGCCGACCUUGAAAUACCACCCUUUAAUGUUUGAUGUUCUAACGUUGACCCGUGAUCCGGGUUGCGGACAGUGUCUGGUGGGUAGUUUGACUGGGGCGGUCUCCUCCUAAAGAGUAACGGAGGAGCACGAAGGUUGGCUAAUCCUGGUCGGACAUCAGGAGGUUAGUGCAAUGGCAUAAGCCAGCUUGACUGCGAGCGUGACGGCGCGAGCAGGUGCGAAAGCAGGUCAUAGUGAUCCGGUGGUUCUGAAUGGAAGGGCCAUCGCUCAACGGAUAAAAGGUACUCCGGGGAUAACAGGCUGAUACCGCCCAAGAGUUCAUAUCGACGGCGGUGUUUGGCACCUCGAUGUCGGCUCAUCACAUCCUGGGGCUGAAGUAGGUCCCAAGGGUAUGGCUGUUCGCCAUUUAAAGUGGUACGCGAGCUGGGUUUAGAACGUCGUGAGACAGUUCGGUCCCUAUCUGCCGUGGGCGCUGGAGAACUGAGGGGGGCUGCUCCUAGUACGAGAGGACCGGAGUGGACGCAUCACUGGUGUUCGGGUUGUCAUGCCAAUGGCACUGCCCGGUAGCUAAAUGCGGAAGAGAUAAGUGCUGAAAGCAUCUAAGCACGAAACUUGCCCCGAGAUGAGUUCUCCCUGACUCCUUGAGAGUCCUGAAGGAACGUUGAAGACGACGACGUUGAUAGGCCGGGUGUGUAAGCGCAGCGAUGCGUUGAGCUAACCGGUACUAAUGAACCGUGAGGCUUAACCUUACAACGCCGAAGCUGUU